CCUACGGGAGGCAGCAGUGAGGAAUAUUGGUCAAUGGACGGAAGUCUGAACCAGCCAUGCCGCGUGCAGGAAGACGGCUCUAUGAGUUGUAAACUGCUUUUGUCAGGGAGCAAAGUCACCCACGUGUGGGUGUUGGAGAGUACCUGAAGAAAAAGCAUCGGCUAACUCCGUGCCAGCAGCCGCGGUAAUACGGAGGAUGCGAGCGUUAUCCGGAUUUAUUGGGUUUAAAGGGUGCGUAGGCGGGUUAUCAAGUCAGCGGUAAAAUCGUGGAGCUCAACUCCAUCCAGCCGUUGAAACUGAUGAUCUUGAGUGGGCGAGAAGUAUGCGGAAUGCGUGGUGUAGCGGUGAAAUGCAUAGAUAUCACGCAGAACUCCGAUUGCGAAGGCAGCAUACCGGCGCCCGACUGACGCUGAAGCACGAAAGCGUGGGUAUCGAACAGGAUUAGAUACCCUUGUAGUC
Molecule: ribosomal RNA, 459 nt
Filed under: uncultured bacterium
Lineage: Bacteria
Description: partial 16S ribosomal RNA
Rfam family: Bacterial small subunit ribosomal RNA
Source: RNAcentral